RNAcentral lists this long non-coding RNA (443 nucleotides) under Homo sapiens (human). Its description in RNAcentral is "HSALNT0302432". Lineage: Eukaryota; Metazoa; Chordata; Mammalia; Primates; Hominidae. The record is from RNAcentral.
AUGUAGUUUGGUCUGACAUUUGCAGGAAGGAGAGGAGGCACAGAAGCAAAUGUUGCCCUUCACCAUUCCCUGAGCCAUCUAUGCCAAAUGGCCUAGAGCACGCAAGACAGAAAAUCUAAGACAACCAAACAAACCAUUUUCCUUCAGAAAGGGAAGUGGAUCCAAAUAGUGUCUUCUGCCCUCUAAUGACCUACCUGCCCCAUGAGCCUCACUCUUCAUUGCCUAGGCCAGCCACCAUUUUGUGAGCUAUCCUAUGAAGAAACCCAUAUGGCAAGAAACUAAGAGCAGCUUCUGGAUAAUAACCAAUGAGGAAGUGAGGCACUCAGUCCAAUAGCUCAUAAGUAACUGAAUCCUGCCAGCAACUACAGCCCCAGCCAAUACCUUGAUUGCAGCCUUGAAAGAAACCCAGAGAAAGAAUGGACCCAACUAGACCAUGCUGUACU